This 701-nucleotide ribosomal RNA is filed under the name uncultured bacterium. RNAcentral describes it as "bacterial SSU rRNA". It matches the Rfam family "Bacterial small subunit ribosomal RNA", at positions 113 to 810 of the family's 1533-position model. The record is from RNAcentral.
ACACGUAUGCAACCUGUCCGGUACAGGGGGAUAAGCGGCGGAAACGCCGUCUAAUACCGCGUGACAACCCGAGGGGGCAUCCCCUUGGGUUCAAAGGAGAGAUCCGGUACCGGCUGGGCAUGCGGCGCAUUAGCUAGUUGGCGGGGCAACGGCCCACCAAGGCGACGAUGCGUAGGGGUUCUGAGAGGAAGGUCCCCCACACUGGAACUGAGACACGGUCCAGACUCCUACGGGAGGCAGCAGUGAGGAAUAUUGGUCAAUGGGCGCAAGCCUGAACCAGCCAAGUCGCGUGAGGGAAGACGGCCCUACGGGUUGUAAACCUCUUUUGCCGGGGAGCAAGCCUGAGCACGUGUGCCCAGGCGGAGAGUACCCGGAGAAAAAGCAUCGGCUAACUCCGUGCCAGCAGCCGCGGUAAUACGGAGGAUGCGAGCGUUAUCCGGAUUUAUUGGGUUUAAAGGGUGCGCAGGCGGGCUGUUAAGCCGGCGGUAAAAAUUCAGGGCUCAACCCUGUCGAGCCGUCGGAACUGGCAGUCUUGAGUGGGCGAGAAGUAUGCGGAAUGCGUGGUGUAGCGGUGAAAUGCAUAGAUAUCACGCAGAACGCCGAUUGCGAAGGCAGCAUACCGGCGCCCAACUGACGCUGAGGCACGAAAGCGUGGGGAUCGAACAGGAUUAGAUACCCUGGUAGUCCACGCAGUAAACGAU